UACGAAGGGGGCUAGCGUUGUUCGGAAUUACUGGGCGUAAAGCGCACGUAGGCGGUGUUCUUUGUCAGAGGUGAAAGCCCGGGGCUCAACUCCGGAAUUGCCUUUGAAACGGGAACGCUAGAGUCCGAGAGAGGAUGGCGGAAUUCCUAGUGUAGAGGUGAAAUUCGUAGAUAUUGGGAAGAACACCGGUGGCGAAGGCGGCGACCUGGUCCUUGACUGACGCUGAGGCGCGAAAGCGUGGGGAGCAAACAGG
This 253-nucleotide ribosomal RNA is filed under the name uncultured bacterium. RNAcentral's name for it is "partial 16S ribosomal RNA". It matches the Rfam family "Bacterial small subunit ribosomal RNA", at positions 524 to 776 of the family's 1533-position model. The record is from RNAcentral.